ACAGUUCCAACAUGCAACAAUCUUACAUCAGAAAUAUGCCACCACUGGGAUAGACAUCUUUUCUUGAACCAUGUCCUCAUAUCAUCAGACAACUGAAAAGGAUUUCUGUCAUCAACACCUCCAUUGGCUCCAACAAAAUCCUAAUGAGUGCCAGAUGAAAAAGUUUGGCAAAGUGGCAGUAUUAGCAGAUGGUGUGGAGUGGGACAAGAGACAGUCACCAUCAAGUCAUGAAUCUUUCUAUGUUGUUUCCAUGAAAAAAAGACUCAUAGCCAGCUGGGCUGCAAUAUCAAAAAAUCUCAAUUUAUAUACGUUCAGUGAGCAAUUGUGAAGAAGAAAAGAAGCAAAGGUAUUAAGAAUGAGGAAACCAGAGGAGUUAUGAAAAGGUCUACCGAGUUAACUAAUCUAAUGAAGACAUUAGGGAGAUCUUGUUCAGUGGCCAGAAUCUUUUUUUUUUUUCCUUUCUGACAAAGUAAUGAAGCUUUCUGCAUGGAAGAAAAUAAUGGCCCUAAGAACACAGAAUGACACCUUAUAAAAAGCAAGCUGACUUGCUUAAGAUGGAAGGAGGUCACCUCUGUGGUGCUUGAGUAUCUGAUGACCAUCCUCACUGAGCACACAGGGAAUCCCCAUGCCUAUCAAUAUAUCUCCCUAAAGUAUGAGCCCAUCUUUGCUCUAGACACAGAGGGACUGGAAGCUCCUGAAAGCGAUCUUGGGGUCAGUGCAGAUGUCUUUUUUUCAGUGCUCUGUACUUCUAUCCAGUGAACUCUCAUCAGUAAUCCUCACAUCUUAACUGCAGUAAACAUUGUCAGGAAGGAGAUAUGACAACCUGCCUCAAAAACCUUGGAAAUAAACACUGAAAGAUUUUCUUGGCUGCUGCAACAAAUAUAAACACUCAGACCUGUGGAAACAAAAAUGAUGCAAGGACCAGCCUUGUCAUCUUGACAGUAGUGAAGAACUAACUGCCUAGGGGAGUAGAACAGAUUCUCUCAGCAGCUUCUCUCUAAGCUGUUUGCAGAACUGGAAACCAAGCAUCUGAAAGACUCAGACAGGAUUACACUGUUUUUUCUGCUUGAUUCCCUACAGUACCCCAGAAGACAUCCCAUGGUGUUCUUACAUGCACAAACACCAAUCUCCCUAAGAAACCUUGCUGAAGACACAGGAGCAGCCACAUGAGAUUGGAAGGCAAAGAUGCUUAUUAUAAGAGACAAGGUUAUUACAUAACACCCAUCCUUGAAGUCAAAAACUGGUGGCAUAACGGCAAGAAUACCUAGUGUGCAUUCAUUAUUGUACAAGCCUGAAUGGCACAAUUCCAUCUUGGUAUUUUCUGUCGGUUUUGUUGUGAGGACUUGUGAUUACAUAAUCUGCUAUGAUCAUGCUAAAACUAGAUAUCCAACUAAAUCAAUAAAAUGUUCUCUUUUGAGCCAGAAGUUUUCCAUUGCUAAUUUCUGCUGCUUCUUUUCUCUAUUGUCCUAAUUUUCCCAAAAGCUAAUUAUUUGUAAAUUCCAUUAAAACAGUGUUCAGUGAGGUUACUGAAUUUGUUUCACUAUUAGCAAUGUUACAGUUAUAGGUUUUACAAUUAUUCCAAUACAAUGACUGUGACACAGAGUCAGGUAGACUAAAAUAACUGUGAAAGAGACUAAAUGGUUACCAACAGUAGUUUAAAAUUUGUUUAAAUGCAUCUGUGAUUUUGUUUGUAGAAGAUAACAUUAAAAGCAUACAAGAAAAAGAUAAGCAUUAGCAUGAUUUAAUUUCAUGGUAUUUAUGAAUGUACAUCUUUGCAAUUGUUGAUAUUAAUAUCCAAGAGGCCUGAGUUCCCAUAGACUGAAAUGAUCUAUGAUGAUUUAUGGCAGCUGUUAACAUCAUGGCACUAAAUUCCUAUCUGGAUUUCAGUUCAAAACUUGACUCAGUGUCAUAACUUUGAUAACUCAUAUGCAUGGCUUAAUUCAUUUUCUGAUAUCAUGUUACUGUCUUAUUGUCAUUACUUCUCUGUGGCAAAGCAAUCACAUGUUCAAAAAGAAACUGAAAUGGUGUCAUCAAGAACUAUCCUAGCAUAUUUUUCCAAAUUUGUAUAGAAAGUAAUUUUGAUAACCUGCUUUGACAGAAGCAAUAAUGUUUUAUUGUAUGAUUUCAUCUACAG
This is a long non-coding RNA of Gallus gallus (chicken), 2134 nucleotides long. The record is from Ensembl. NCBI's taxonomy places the organism in Eukaryota, Metazoa, Chordata, Aves, Galliformes, Phasianidae.